Molecule: non-coding RNA, 247 nt
Organism: Paramuricea clavata
Lineage: Eukaryota; Metazoa; Cnidaria; Anthozoa; Malacalcyonacea; Plexauridae
Source: the annotation of a GenBank genome assembly
CCCCCUUGUCCCCGUCUCCAACGGUCAUUCAGAUUAUUAUCUGAACUACUUUGUGAAAAAAACAUGAAAGUCGUGAUUUAAACUGUCUAGAAAGAUAAGCUCAUCUUGAUAGAGCCAGUGCUCGCAUAUUGCGAAGAUAUCUAAUUCACGCAAUAGUUUCUUUGCAUAUAGUCAGAUAUAACUUAUAUUCCGCAGCACUUCCAACAGCCAAGCCUUAAUGUAAUUAGUUUAUGAGCUAUCUUUUGUU